GUCUUUUUGAAAAUAAUUUUAAGUCUAAUCUGCCAAUUGAUUUUAAAAAUUAAAAGGCCGCAGUAUUUUGACUGUGCAAAGGUAGCAUAAUCAUUAGUCUUUUAAUUAAGGUCUAGAAUGAAGGAUUGAACGAAAUAAAAUCUGUCUCAUUUUAAUUAAUAUUAAAAUUUAAUAUUUAAGUUAAAAAACUUAAAUAAAAUUAAAAGACGAGAAGACCCUAUAGAAUUUUAUAAUUUAAAUUAAAUAAUUUUAUAAAGUAUUAUUAAUUUUAUUAAAUUUUUAUUAUUUUAUUGGGGUGAUAAAAAGAUAAAAAUAACUCUUUAAUAAAUUUAUUCAUAAAUUAAUGAUUUAUUAAUAGAUCCUAUAUUAUAGAAUAAUAAAUUAAAUUACCUUAGGGAUAACAGCGUAAUUUUUUUUAAAAGUUCAUAUUAAUAAAUUAGAUUACGACCUCGAUGUUGGAUUAAGAUAUAUAAUUAGGUGCAAAAGUUUAAUUAUAAGGUCUGUUCGACCUUUAAAUUCUUACA
This 524-nucleotide ribosomal RNA is filed under the name Pamphilius cf. hortorum Sus39. Its description in RNAcentral is "partial 16S ribosomal RNA". Lineage: Eukaryota; Metazoa; Arthropoda; Insecta; Hymenoptera; Pamphiliidae. The record is from RNAcentral.